Molecule: ribosomal RNA, 292 nt
Filed under: uncultured bacterium
Lineage: Bacteria
Also listed under: 1 other name
Description: partial 16S ribosomal RNA
Source: RNAcentral
GGACUACUGGGGUUUCUAAUCCCGUUUGCUCCCCUGGCUUUCGCGCCUCAGCGUCAGUAGAGAUCCAGCGUGCCGCUUUCGCCACCGGUGUUCCUUCCGAUAUCUACGCAUUUCACCGCUCCACCGGAAGUUCCGCACGCCCCUAUCUCCCUCCAGACAAGCAGUAUCGGGGGCCCUUCCACGGUUGAGCCGUGGGCUUUCACCUCCGACUUGCCUGCCCGCCUACGCGCCCUUUAAGCCCAAUGAUUCCGAAUAACGUUCGCACGGUUCGUCUUACCGCGGCUGCUGGCAC